GGGAGUGUAAAGGUGCCUGGUGGACCUCCUGGACUUCAAAUCCAGUGCGGGGCUACGAACAAGUCCCGGGUGGGUUCGAUUCCCAUACGCUCCC
This 94-nucleotide transfer RNA is filed under the name marine sediment metagenome. Its description in RNAcentral is "Selenocysteine transfer RNA". It matches the Rfam family "Selenocysteine transfer RNA". The record is from RNAcentral.